RNAcentral lists this small RNA (29 nucleotides) under Bombyx mori (domestic silkworm). Its description in RNAcentral is "ovarian small RNA-26923". Lineage: Eukaryota; Metazoa; Arthropoda; Insecta; Lepidoptera; Bombycidae. The record is from RNAcentral.
UCCAUAUCAGUUGCGUUUUGUUAUACCAC